Molecule: long non-coding RNA, 1234 nt
Filed under: Macaca fascicularis (crab-eating macaque)
Lineage: Eukaryota; Metazoa; Chordata; Mammalia; Primates; Cercopithecidae
Description: lncRNA (ENSMFAG00000065064.1)
Source: RNAcentral
GUUACCACAAAAGACAUCUGACAAAUACCUUUCAGUACUCUCUCUUCUAAUAAACCAUAUUCCACUUUGCGAAUUCAGAAGUAAAACACAGAACCUAAAUGAAACUUGUGACAUGGAUACAGAGAAAUUUAAGUGACCUGUUCCACUUCAAAUAAUAACAGAGUGUGCCAUUGGCAAACUUGGAGAUGAAGGAUGCUUUCUCUCUGAGCAAUUAUAGCAUGUUAUUACUGUGCUCUCAUGCAGAUUUUCAUUCUAAAAGCCUCACUGGUAUCGUACUGUGAAAUUGUUUUGUUCAGUAUGAUGUUGAAGAAAUGUGAGCAUACAGAAUGUAUAAAAGUUUCAUUUGUGCAAGUAGUCAUAUAUACAGAUAGUCCUUAGAUAGCAGAGAAUAAAAUCAUUACAAAACAUUUAUUCUACAAAGAACCGCUCCUCUUAUAUGUGUCACUGCAUCUUCCUGGGUAUAUGUGGUCUUCAGUAGUGGACACUGAUGGUGAAUCAAGGUGUAUUUACUAAGAACAUGCCAAAUUAGAUGAAAGAGAUUUCCAUUUAGAGAGAAGAGUUUUGGGAUUAACAGCUCUCUGCUUCUUAGCACAGUAUUUUACAAAGCCUUUCAUGAUAUCCUUGUUACAUGGCAAGAAGAAGGGACUCUAUUUCACCUAAAAUGUGAUCAUGUGUGUAUGCCAGUUGAUUUUAGGUGAUAUUCAGAUGAACAUUUUCUUAAAUGAAUACUAUUUCUGAGAUAUGUUACUGGUUUUUAGUUCAUGUUAUUGAUUUUCUAUUAAAAUGCUAUUAAAAGGUAAAAAGUGAGACUACUUAAGGAAAAAUAUCAAGAAAGUACGGACACAGGUAGUAUGUAUAUAUGAAUGAGAAAUUAAAUUGGACAGUUUCUAAGAUUUUUUCCAACUCUCAGAUUCUAUGAAAGACAAAUAUAACCAUCCUUCUUAAGCAGAAAAACAGAAUUAAAAGUAAUUAAGUUGUUAAAGAUCUUGGACUAGAACCUAACUCUUUUUGACAAUCAAAGAAUUGGAAGAAAUAUGACCCUCCAUUGGGGUCUAAGCAAAUAGGCAGAUAUAUUUUAAUCAUUAAAAAACUAUGUUUUGAUUAUUUUCACGUAACAACAAAAGAAAAUGAAAUGAGAGGGACAUUCAAGGCUCCUCAAAGUUCAAUUAGCCAGAGAAAAUAAUCAUGUUCAUUCUUGCUUAAAGUUGUUUCCCUCUUGUCUUUUUUUGUCAGA